GUACACACCGCCCGUCGCUAGUACCGAUUGAAUGGCUUAGUGAGACCUCCGGAUUAGCGAUUCAUUGGUGGCAACACCAUAGAGUUGCCGAGAAGUUGGUCAAACUUGGUCAUUUAGAGGAACUAAAAGUCGUAACAAGGUAACCGUAGG
Molecule: ribosomal RNA, 150 nt
Filed under: uncultured fungus
Lineage: Eukaryota; Fungi
Description: partial small subunit ribosomal RNA
Rfam family: Eukaryotic small subunit ribosomal RNA
Source: RNAcentral